Long non-coding RNA from Bombina bombina (fire-bellied toad), 982 nucleotides. RefSeq lists it as uncharacterized. The record is from RefSeq and is a predicted model, not a curated record. NCBI's taxonomy places the organism in Eukaryota, Metazoa, Chordata, Amphibia, Anura, Bombinatoridae. The transcript is spliced from 2 exons.
CUUGUUUCAAAUCUUUUUCAGAACCUUCUUUGGUCUACCUUGAUGUCAUGGUGUAGACUCAUGAUCAUGGUCAAACAGAGCCAAGUCGUGAAGGUUACAAAAAGCUUAAAAUAAUAGUGAUCUGAGUCCUGUGCAGGCAAGAUAGACGACACAAGUUGGAUACUUUAUAUGAUGUCAUCCCAUAUACAGUUACAAGAAUUCAAGGAUCAAUGAUCACUGCAGUAAGAAAUGGACAUACAAUUACUCAGAAUUCUUCUUUCUUCAAGAAACUACAAAAAGAACAGGACACUGAAGUAUCUGAUGCAGAAGAUGAUGAUUCUGAUAUACCCAAAUUAUUUCAAGAACAUGAUGAUAAUAUGGAUAACUCAGAGAGCAGUGAGGGGGAGGAAAACAGCAUAUGAUCAGUCCUUAGAUACUAAUCGAAAAUACCCUCUCAGAGAAAACAGAAGACCUCCUGAAUACCUUAAAAACUAUGAAAAAUAAUGUGUUUUCAUGUAAUGUAUUAUGUCAUCAUGCAACUCUUUUAUGUGAAAUUUAGUUGGUCUUAUUUCUAGAUAUUAAGCAUAAUAUAUAUAUAGUUAUAUUCAUGUUUAGUUUAAUUGUUAUAUUUCUAAUCUAAAGUAAGGGAGAGAUAUGGUGUCUGUUGUGAUAUUAUAAUAUAUAAUGCUUUCUUCCUAGUUUGUGCUCUGACUUGUAAAUGUAUAUAAUUGUUGCAAAGAAGCAGGGGCGGGGACAGUGUUGUUGGAGUGAGGAACCAGGAAAUAAAGUGUGUAGUUAGUUGCUGUAUAAAUGGACUCUGUGUCAGAUAUAUUUCUAAACCACCUGGAUUUACAAACACUACACCUUUGUAUUGCAUUUUGUCAAAAGAAUGUUUUAGAAAAUACUUUUAACAUUGAUUUACUAUUGUUUAUCUGUUUUGAUUAUUGCAACUGUUAAAACAGAAUAUAUUAAAGUUAUGUAUUUCAUAUUUUGGAAUUAUAAA